This 1216-nucleotide ribosomal RNA is filed under the name human gut metagenome. RNAcentral describes it as "bacterial LSU rRNA". It matches the Rfam family "Bacterial large subunit ribosomal RNA", at positions 1391 to 2615 of the family's 2925-position model. The record is from RNAcentral.
CUAAGCCGAGGCCGAAAGGCGUAGGUGAUGGACAACAGGUUGAUAUUCCUGUACCACCAAUAACCGUUUGAGAAAUGGGAUGACACAGUAGGAUAAGCUAACCGCACUGUUGGUUAUGUGCGGGCAAGUAUUGAGGCAGUUCCGAUAGGCAAAUCCGUCGGAAUAAUGCUGGGGUACGAUGCGGAGCGAAAUUUAGUAGCGAAGUAGCUGAUUUCACACUGUCGAGAAAAGUCUCUAUCGAGGUUAAAGGUGCCUGUACCGCAAACCGACACAGGUGGGUGAGGAGAGUAUCCUAAGGCCAGCGAGAGAACUGUUGUUAAGGAACUCGGCAAAAUGACCCCGUAACUUCGGGAGAAGGGGUGCCUUCGAAAGAAGGCCGCAGAGAAUAGGCCCAAGCGACUGUUUACCAAAAACAUAGGUUUCUGCUAAGUCGCAAGACGAUGUAUAGGAGCUGACGCCUGCCCGGUGCUGGAAGGUUAAGGGGAUCUGUUAGAGCAAUCGAAGCAGUGAACUUAAGCCCCAGUAAACGGCGGCCGUAACUAUAACGGUCCUAAGGUAGCGAAAUUCCUUGUCGGGUAAGUUCCGACCCGCACGAAAGGCGUAACGAUUUGGGCACUGUCUCAACAACAGACUCGGUGAAAUUGUAAUACCGGUGAAGAUGCCGGUUACCUGCGACAGGACGGAAAGACCCCAUGGAGCUUUACUGUAGCUUGACAUUGAGUCUCGGUGCUACAUGUACAGGAUAGGUGGGAGACUAUGAAGCAUGGACGUCAGUCUGUGUGGAGUCAUCCUUGGGAUACCACCCUUGUAGUACUGGGAUUCUAACCAGAGGCCAUGAAUCUGGUCUUGGGACACUGUCAGGUGGACAGUUUGACUGGGGCGGUCGCCUCCCAAAAAGUAACGGAGGCGCUCAAAGGUUCUCUCAGUACGGUCGGAAAUCGUACGAAGAGUGUAAAGGCAAAAGAGAGCUUGAUUGCAAGACAUACAGGUCGAGCAAGGACGAAAGUCGGACUUAGUGAUCCGGUGGUACCGCAUGGAAGGGCCAUCGCUCAACGGAUAAAAGCUACCCUGGGGAUAACAGGCUGAUCUCCCCCAAGCGUCCACAGCGACGGGGAGGUUUGGCACCUCGAUGUCGGCUCGUCACAUCCUGGGGCUGUAUUCGGUCCCAAGGGUUCGGCUGUUCGCCGAUUAAAGUGGCACGCGAGCUGGGUUCAGA